AUCAACUGAAGCACAGGACGUGCUCAGGAUCACGGAUGAUCGACCAUACGCCAGGAUGGCUGCCGACAGGAUGUCGCAAUGGUCUUGAGAAACCCGCUUCGGCGGGUUUUUU
Molecule: small RNA, 112 nt
Filed under: Pseudomonas sp. Tn43
Lineage: Bacteria; Pseudomonadati; Pseudomonadota; Gammaproteobacteria; Pseudomonadales; Pseudomonadaceae
Also listed under: 1 other name
Source: RNAcentral